GCCGGAAUGGUGGAAUAGGUAGACACAAGGGACUUAAAAUCCCUCGGUAGUAAAAUGCCGUGCCAGUUCGAUUCUGGUUUCCGGCA
Molecule: transfer RNA, 86 nt
Filed under: Spirochaetaceae bacterium
Lineage: Bacteria; Pseudomonadati; Spirochaetota; Spirochaetia; Spirochaetales; Spirochaetaceae
Also listed under: 1 other name
Description: tRNA-Leu
Rfam family: tRNA
About the family: Transfer RNA (tRNA) molecules are approximately 80 nucleotides in length.
Source: RNAcentral